AACGAACGCUGGCGGCAUGCCUAACACAUGCAAGUCGAACGAGACCUUCGGGUCUAGUGGCGCACGGGUGCGUAACGCGUGGGAACCUGCCCUUAGGUUUGGAAUACCUCCCCGAAAGGGGUGCUAAUACCGGAUCAUGUCUUCGGACCAAAGAUUUAUCGCCUUUGGAUGGGCCCGCGUUGGAUUAGCUAGUUGGUAGGGUAAAAGCCUCCCACGGCGACGAUCCAUAGCUGGUCUGUGAGGAUGGUCAGCCACACUGGGACUGAGACACGGCCCAGACUCCUACGGGAGGCAGCAGUGGGGAAUAUUGGACAAUGGGCGGAGGCCUGAUCCAGCAAUGCCGCGAGAGUGAUGAAGGCCGUAGGGUUGUAAAGCUCUUUUACCCGGGAUGAUAAUGACGGUACCGGGAGAAUAAGCUCCGGCUAACUCCGUG
This 433-nucleotide ribosomal RNA is filed under the name uncultured bacterium. RNAcentral describes it as "partial 16S ribosomal RNA". It matches the Rfam family "Bacterial small subunit ribosomal RNA", at positions 29 to 507 of the family's 1533-position model. The record is from RNAcentral.